This 599-nucleotide ribosomal RNA is filed under the name uncultured Actinomycetes bacterium. Its description in RNAcentral is "bacterial SSU rRNA". It matches the Rfam family "Bacterial small subunit ribosomal RNA", at positions 8 to 623 of the family's 1533-position model. The record is from RNAcentral. Lineage: Bacteria; Bacillati; Actinomycetota; Actinomycetes.
AGAGUUUGAUCCUGGCUCAGGACGAACGCUGGCGGCGUGCUUAACACAUGCAAGUCGAGCGAUGAGAUCCCUUCGGGGAAGGAUUAGCGGCGAACGGGUGAGGAACACGUGAGGAAUCUGCCUUCAACACUGGGAUAACUCCGGGAAACCGGGGCUAAUACCGGAUACGAAACUCGGUGGCAUCACUGAGUUUGGAAAGUUUUUCGGUUGAAGAUGACCUCGCGGCCUAUCAGCUUGUUGGUGAGGUAAUGGCUCACCAAGGCGACGACGGGUAGCCGGCCUGAGAGGGCGACCGGCCACACUGGGACUGAGACACGGCCCAGACUCCUACGGGAGGCAGCAGUGGGGAAUAUUGGGCAAUGGAGGAAACUCUGACCCAGCGACGCCGCGUGCGGGAUGAAGGCCUUCGGGUUGUAAACCGCUUUCAGCAGGGAAGACGCGAAAGUGACGGUACCUGCAUAAGAAGCACCGGCUAACUAUGUGCCAGCAGCCGCGGUAAUACAUAGGGUGCAAGCGUUGUCCGGAAUUAUUGGGCGUAAAGAGCUCGUAGGUGGUUCGUCACGUCGGAUGUGAAAAUCUGGGGCUCACCCCCAGACCUG